AACGUAGGAGACAAACGUUAUCCGGAGUUACUGGGCGUAAAGGGCGUGUAGGUGGUUUCGUAAGUCUGGCGUGAAAUUUCCCGGCUUAACCGGGAGUGGUCGUUGGAUACUGCGGGACUAGAGGACGGUAGAGGCGUGUGGAAUUCCGGGUGUAGUGGUGAAAUGCGUAGAGAUCCGGAGGAACACCAGUGGCGAAGGCGACACGCUGGGCCGUACCUGACACUGAUGCGCGACAGCAUGGGGAGCAAACAGG
Molecule: ribosomal RNA, 253 nt
Filed under: uncultured bacterium
Lineage: Bacteria
Description: partial 16S ribosomal RNA
Rfam family: Bacterial small subunit ribosomal RNA
Source: RNAcentral